UUACACUUUUUAUUUUUCUUUAUUUUUUUCUAUUUUCAAAGGUGAAUGUGAAACAAGAACUUGAUUUUAUGUAAAAGAGUUUAUCCCUUCUACUUCCCUUCUACUUGAGGUGUGAAGGAAAGUAAUGGAAAUCCUUCUGCCCUCCCAUUCUCAAGGGCUGGGGGAAUUACAAUAUUGAUAGGAAGUGAUGUUGGUGGAAGACAACAUUUUGCCCCUUGGAAUUCUCACAUGCACACCAAAGAAGUACUGUUUUAGUCAUUUGCACCAGCUUCCUUCUCCAGGAAAGGCCAAAACAAUGCACUCCAAGGGAAGCAAGAGGAAAACUCCAGAGAAUGAGCUGACAACUUAGUCCCCGGUCAGUGGCUCACUAUGCCCACCUGUGGUGUGUCGGACACCCUCGCAGAACAUGACUUCCUUGGAACUCUUUGGGGAGUGAAUGUUAUCAGCAAACUACCAAACCAACAACCCCUUAGACAAAGAGCCUCCUCACGUGUGCAUUGCCUCGGCCACCCGCUAAAGGUAAGGUGUUAGUUAAAAUAGUCCUUGCCUUCUAGGAGAAGCCAUGUUU
This 568-nucleotide long non-coding RNA is filed under the name Saimiri boliviensis boliviensis (Bolivian squirrel monkey). RNAcentral's name for it is "lncRNA (ENSSBOG00000036466.1)". The record is from RNAcentral. Lineage: Eukaryota; Metazoa; Chordata; Mammalia; Primates; Cebidae.